Lolium rigidum is the source of this 1658-nucleotide long non-coding RNA. RefSeq lists it as uncharacterized. The record is from RefSeq and is a predicted model, not a curated record. The transcript has 3 exons. NCBI's taxonomy places the organism in Eukaryota, Viridiplantae, Streptophyta, Magnoliopsida, Poales, Poaceae.
CUUUCGAGUGCACUUUGUGUGGCCGCCCGUCAGCGGGACGGCCUACUUCUUCUGCAUCUUCUCUGGUUCCAUGCAGCCUCGUGGGCUUCAAGAUGUCAUUGUUUUGCCGGCUUCUCAAAAUGGUGAUCCUGUUGUUGGUACACGAUGAAGACGAGACCGGCCUCCUGGUCGUGGGCGAUGCUGGGGAAGACCACAAUUGGCUGCCGUGUCUUGGUUUUCUGUUCCAUUUGCGGCUACAAUGUCUGCGUGUAUGCCUGGUUCUCAGGCCGGUGGUGGUCAUUGCCGUCCUCUUCUGCCCAGUUCUUUUCGAGCUCCAACUGUGUCUGCUGAGGUAGAUGCUUUGAGGCGCCAAAUUUGGUUGGCAAAGUGACUGAUUAUUGAUACCUUCAAUGGUUGAGAAAUUGCAAGGAAGAAACAAAAAGUGUAGGCCCUCCCACAAAGUAAGCAGGAACGAAAAGUGGUGAAAAUGCAAAGAGGUGGAGUUGAGCUGCAAUGGUCCCAUACCCUACACUUGCUGGAUGAUCACGAGAGAAAGAUGGUUCUCUGUAAAUUCCAUACAGGCCGCAUCACGAAUCGAUGGACUAGCGAUCGUGCGGGAGAGGUACAGAGAGACAUACCCAAGUAACAUCUAGGAGAGAAAGAUCUCACUACAUGUGAUGGUUUCCUACAAAUGACAGAAUGUAGCCAUGUAGAAAUAUUGCGAACCAUUUGCAGGUGAACGAUGGUUCGACCUUACCCAUUACUUGCACAAUUUCAGUGGAAAAUUUGAUUAGCAUUCUGUAGGUUUACUACUGCAAAGUGAGAUCCCUAUUACUGUACACAUGUCCACCUGUAUAUGAGCAUAUCUAACGCUUCAUUCAAAAUACUGCUUGAUGUUCCUCCAAAAUUAUAAAGCUAACAAUUCAAUGGUAAGGAGAACAAGGGAUUUAGCUGAUUGUCCAUACAUACUGAUAUGUUACCCUUCACAAGUUUUGCAUAAUUGUUUUCAGAGGAGACGAAUGCAACAUUCCUUUUGUUGUUUUUGGAAAAUUGGUCUCAGACUAUUGUAUGCAACCACCAGAUAGAAGGAUGAAGGCAACAGCUCAAUCUCCAAGCUUUGAUUUGGUCUCAAAAGCCCGCUGUCAUGAUCAGAUCAACUCAUUUGUGCCUUCCAAAAGAUCACCACUGGAAUCAGGUGAUCUUCUCAUGUAUUUCUUUACAUUUAUGUUGUACUAAAUAUUAGCUUGGCCCAACAUUGUUUUGUCGGCCAUAAUCAAUACUGCAUUGUGUGAUAAAGUCCAUUCUUGAGGUUUAUGUAUUGUUCUAAAGAACUGCUUUCUGCGACAGCAAAUCGCUCACCAGUAAAACACGCACCACACAUUGACCUUUUUUUAGCUUACCAUUACAACAAUCUUUAUUUUCUUUACAUAAUUAAGUCCACAGAUUAUGCAUUUUGAUGUACUUAAGACAAAAAAACAACUCGCUAUAAUUAAAAUUGUGUUCCGUCUUCUAUAAUGCAGAUUAUGCAUUUUGACGUACAUGAGACAAAAGCCAGCUCGCUGUAAUUAAAAUUGUGUUCCCUCUUCUAUAAUCGAUGUACACCAUAAAAAAAACUUUGUUUCUUUUGAUGACUAUGCCUGUGGCAUGACUUGAAGAUAAGUCCCGAACACUGAAGUUUC